UGUCGAUGAAGAGCGCAGCCAACUGUGUGAAUUAAUGUGAACUGCGUACUGAUUCGAACAUCGACAUCUUGAACGCAUAUUGCGGCCAUGGGCUAGCCCGUGGCCACGCCUGUCCGAGAGUCG
This 123-nucleotide ribosomal RNA is filed under the name Tandanicola bancrofti. RNAcentral's name for it is "partial 5.8S ribosomal RNA". It matches the Rfam family "5.8S ribosomal RNA", at positions 33 to 154 of the family's 154-position model. Rfam says of the family: 5.8S ribosomal RNA (5.8S rRNA) is a component of the large subunit of the eukaryotic ribosome. It is transcribed by RNA polymerase I as part of the 45S precursor that also contains 18S and 28S rRNA. Functionally, it is thought that 5.8S rRNA may be involved in ribosome translocation. The record is from RNAcentral. Lineage: Eukaryota; Metazoa; Platyhelminthes; Trematoda; Strigeidida; Tandanicolidae.